Molecule: long non-coding RNA, 945 nt
Organism: Phragmites australis (common reed)
Lineage: Eukaryota; Viridiplantae; Streptophyta; Magnoliopsida; Poales; Poaceae
Exons: 2
Source: RefSeq, a predicted model, not a curated record
UCGAAAUUUACAGCCGUGCGAUCUAUGGUGAACAUCUCACAUCUCACCCUACAGUCGUAAAGAGGUAAAAAAAGAUGGAGCCUUCCUAUGACCUCUCGAAGCCUCUGCACAGCCCUUCGAUCCUCCGCGUGAUUCCUUUCCUUUCUCUCACCGUCGAGACCGAUGUGGUCGUGCCGGCGAGGCCCCUUUUCUCCGCUACCUCUUCCUACUAAUCCCCGCCGCCGGCGUUUGCCGUCGGUUCCUACCACCUCCGAUUUCCCACUUCCGUAUCUUUCUGCUCCUCCAUCCAAGCGCCGCCUCUCUCCGGCUAAUCCCUUCCGCCUGCCUCUACCGGCUCCAUCCAAGCGGCUGCCCACGACGUUGAUCUACCAUCCCGUGGGAAGCGGCCUCCGCCCGCUCCAUUCAUGCUGCGGCCGCUCAUGUCUGCACUCCAUCUCGAUACGUCUCUCCGCCUAAUCGCGGCCGUGCCUCUUCGCCAAAUCCUCGCUGUCGGCGAUUUCCACCGCCUGAUUCCGCCAGCGGCGCCCUUCCUCCGCUCCAUCCACGUCGUGGUGGGCUGGUCGCCCUCGGCGGCUUCCUACCUCCCUCUUGCAUUUCCCAACCCUUCUGCACCUUUUGUCACCUCGCCGCGUCACUGCUUCGCAUGGCAGCGGUGGCACCAUCUGCCUAUCAGCUAAUUGGAAGCAAAGGAAGCUAUUUAGUUUUUGAAUUUGCUGGGAUUUUACUUGAUCAAAUGGAACUGAUGGAAGGAGCUGAUAAGGAUGGCAGCGCUCUGAACAAUUACUGGAUUAGCAAGGCUCUUAAGUUUUCCCCAUUCAGGACGGUGCAAAUUGCAGUAAAUAUAAAUAUUGGCCUGAAUGUAGCAAUUAACUUCAUAAUCUGCUUUGAAUCAAUGGCAAGGUGAUGGAAGACAAAGGUCUAUGAUAAUUUGCCGUGUUAAGCUUA